GUGCUCCCUUUGGCAACACAUAUAUUAAACUUUGGAAAAUACAGAGAAGAUUAUCAUUGCUACUCCAUAAGGAUAACACACAAAUUUGUGAAGUGUUCCAUAUUUUU
This 107-nucleotide small nuclear RNA is filed under the name Urocitellus parryii (Arctic ground squirrel). The record is from RNAcentral. Lineage: Eukaryota; Metazoa; Chordata; Mammalia; Rodentia; Sciuridae.